Non-coding RNA from Mycena polygramma, 96 nucleotides. Lineage: Eukaryota; Fungi; Basidiomycota; Agaricomycetes; Agaricales; Mycenaceae. The record is from the annotation of a GenBank genome assembly.
GCCUUCGUAGACCAAGCUAGAUCGCUUCCUCCGCAUGAAGAGUGCUUUGUGUGCUGAUGUAGGGAAGAGAUGUGGGUUCGAAUCCCAUCGAAGGCG